GCGACAGGCUUAACACAUGCAAGUCGAGGGGCAGCACAGGUAGCAAUACCGGGUGGCGACCGGCGCACGGGUGAGUAACGCGUAUGCAACUUGCCUAUCAGAGGGGGAUAACCCGGCGAAAGUCGGACUAAUACCGCAUGAAGCAGGGAUCCCGCAUGGGAAUAUUUGCUAAAGAUUCAUCGCUGAUAGAUAGGCAUGCGUUCCAUUAGGCAGUUGGCGGGGUAACGGCCCACCAAACCGACGAUGGAUAGGGGUUCUGAGAGGAAGGUCCCCCACAUUGGUACUGAGACACGGACCAAACUCCUACGGGAGGCAGCAGUGAGGAAUAUUGGUCAAUGGCCGAGAGGCUGAACCAGCCAAGUCGCGUGAGGGAUGAAGGUUCUAUGGAUCGUAAACCUCUUUUAUAAGGGAAUAAAGUGCGGGACGUGUCCCGUUUUGUAUGUACCUUAUGAAUAAGGAUCGGCUAACUCCGUGCCAGCAGCCGCGGUAAUACGGAGGAUCCGAGCGUUAUCCGGAUUUAUUGGGUUUAAAGGGUGCGUAGGCGGCCUUUUAAGUCAGCGGUGAAAGUCUGUGGCUCAACCAUAGAAUUGCCGUUGAAACUGGGGGGCUUGAGUAUGUUUGAGGCAGGCGGAAUGCGUGGUGUAGCGGUGAAAUGCAUAGAUAUCACGCAGAACCCCGAUUGCGAAGGCAGCCUGCCAAGCCAUUACUGACGCUGAUGCACGAAAGCGUGGGGAUCAAACAGGAUUAGAUACCCUGGUAGUCCACGCAGUAAACGAUGAUCACUAGCUGUUUGCGAUACACUGUAAGCGGCACAGCGAAAGCGUUAAGUGAUCCACCUGGGGAGUACGCCGGCAACGGUGAAACUCAAAGGAAUUGACGGGGGCCCGCACAAGCGGAGGAACAUGUGGUUUAAUUCGAUGAUACGCGAGGAACCUUACCCGGGUUUGAACGCAUUCGGACCGAGGUGGAAACACCUUUUCUAGCAAUAGCCGUUUGCGAGGUGCUGCAUGGUUGUCGUCAGCUCGUGCCGUGAGGUGUCGGCUUAAGUGCCAUAACGAGCGCAACCCUUGCCACUAGUUACUAACAGGUAAAGCUGAGGACUCUGGUGGGACUGCCAGCGUAAGCUGCGAGGAAGGCGGGGAUGACGUCAAAUCAGCACGGCCCUUACAUCCGGGGCGACACACGUGUUACAAUGGCGUGGACAAAGGGAGGCCACCUGGCGACAGGGAGCGAAUCCCCAAACCACGUCUCAGUUCGGAUCGGAGUCUGCAACCCGACUCCGUGAAGCUGGAUUCGCUAGUAAUCGCGCAUCAGCCAUGGCGCGGUGAAUACGUUCCCGGGCCUUGUACACACCGCCCGUCAAGCCAUGGGAGCCGGGGGUACCUGAAGUCCGUAACCGAAAGGAUCGGCCUAGGGUAAAACUGGUGACUGGGGCUAAGUCAUAACA
Molecule: ribosomal RNA, 1447 nt
Filed under: uncultured organism
Description: 16S ribosomal RNA
Rfam family: Bacterial small subunit ribosomal RNA
Source: RNAcentral